This 922-nucleotide ribosomal RNA is filed under the name uncultured bacterium. RNAcentral's name for it is "bacterial SSU rRNA". It matches the Rfam family "Bacterial small subunit ribosomal RNA", at positions 10 to 921 of the family's 1533-position model. The record is from RNAcentral.
AGUUUGAUCCUGGCUCAGGAUGAACGCUAGCUACAGGCUUAACACAUGCAAGUCGAGGGGAAACGAUAUUGGAAGCUUGCUUCCGAUAGGCGUCGACCGGCGCACGGGUGAGUAACGCGUAUCCAACCUGCCCAUCACUUGGGGAUAACCUUGCGAAAGUAAGACUAAUACCCAAUGACGUCUCUAGAAGACAUCUGAAAGAGAUUAAAGAUUUAUCGGUGAUGGAUGGGGAUGCGUCUGAUUAGCUUGUUGGCGGGGUAACGGCCCACCAGGGCGACGAUCAGUAGGGGUUCUGAGAGGAAGGUCCCCCACAUUGGAACUGAGACACGGUCCAAACUCCUACGGGAGGCAGCAGUGAGGAAUAUUGGUCAAUGGACGAGAGCCUGAACCAGCCAAGUAGCGUGCAGGAUGACGGCCCUAUGGGUUGUAAACUGCUUUUAUAAGGGAAUAAAGUGAGUCUCGUGAGACUUUUUGCAUGUACCUUAUGAAUAAGGACCGGCUAAUUCCGUGCCAGCAGCCGCGGUAAUACGGAAGGUCCGGGCGUUAUCCGGAUUUAUUGGGUUUAAAGGGAGCGUAGGCCGGAGAUUAAGCGUGUUGUGAAAUGUAGACGCUCAACGUCUGCACUGCAGCGCGAACUGGUUUCCUUGAGUACGCACAAAGUGGGCGGAAUUCGUGGUGUAGCGGUGAAAUGCUUAGAUAUCACGAAGAACUCCGAUUGCGAAGGCAGCUCCACUGGAGCGCAACUGACGCUGAAGCUCGAAAGUGCGGGUAUCGAACAGGAUUAGAUACCCUGGUAGUCCGCACGGUAAACGAUGGAUGCCCGCUGUUGGUCUGAAUAGGUCAGCGGCCAAGCGAAAGCAUUAAGCAUCCCACCUGGGGAGUACGCCGGCAACGGUGAAACUCAAAGGAAUUGACGGAAGGG